UCCCUGGUGGUCCAGUGGUGAAGACUCUGUGCUUCCAAUGCAGAGGGCCCAGGUUCGAUCCCUAGUCAAGAAA
This is a non-coding RNA of Dama dama (fallow deer), 73 nucleotides long. NCBI's taxonomy places the organism in Eukaryota, Metazoa, Chordata, Mammalia, Artiodactyla, Cervidae. The record is from the annotation of a RefSeq genome assembly.